CCAGCAGCUGCGGUAAUACGAAGGUCCCGAGCGUUGUUCGGAAUCACUGGGCGUAAAGGGAGCGUAGGCGGCGCGGUAAGUCGGAUGUGAAAUCCCGGGGCUCAACCCCGGAACUGCAUCUGAUACUGCCGUGCUAGAGUAAUGGAGAGGUAGCUGGAAUUAUCGGUGUAGCAGUGAAAUGCGUAGAUAUCGAUAGGAACACUCGUGGCGAAAGCGAGCUACUGGACAUUUACUGACGCUGAGGCUCGAAGGCUAGGGUAGCGAAAGGGAUUAGAUACCCCUGUAGUCCUAGCAGUAAACGGUGCACGCUUGGUGUGAGGGGAAUCGACCCCCCUUGUGCCGGAGCUAACGCGUUAAGCGUGCCGCCUGGGAAGUACGGUCGCAAGACUAAAACUCAAAGAAAUUGACGGGGACCCGCACAAGCGGUGGAGUAUGUGGCUUAAUUCGAUGCAACGCGAAGAACCUUACCAAGGCUUGACAUGCAUCUCUAAACACGUGAAAGCGUGUGACCCUUCGGGGAAUUUGCACA
This 529-nucleotide ribosomal RNA is filed under the name uncultured Luteolibacter sp. Its description in RNAcentral is "bacterial SSU rRNA". It matches the Rfam family "Bacterial small subunit ribosomal RNA", at positions 508 to 1036 of the family's 1533-position model. Lineage: Bacteria; Pseudomonadati; Verrucomicrobiota; Verrucomicrobiia; Verrucomicrobiales; Verrucomicrobiaceae. The record is from RNAcentral.